This 564-nucleotide ribosomal RNA is filed under the name uncultured bacterium. RNAcentral describes it as "partial 16S ribosomal RNA". It matches the Rfam family "Bacterial small subunit ribosomal RNA", at positions 355 to 911 of the family's 1533-position model. The record is from RNAcentral.
UGGGGAAUUUUGGACAAUGGGGGAAACCCUGAUCCAGCCAUCCCGCGUGUGCGAUGAAGGCCUUCGGGUUGUAAAGCACUUUUGGCAGGAAAGAAACGUCGCGGGUUAAUACCCCGCGAAACUGACGGUACCUGCAGAAUAAGCACCGGCUAACUACGUGCCAGCAGCCGCGGUAAUACGUAGGGUGCAAGCGUUAAUCGGAAUUACUGGGCGUAAAGCGUGCACAGGCGGUUCGGAAAGAAAGAUGUGAAAUCCCAGAGCUUAACUUUGGAACUGCAUUUUUAACUACCGGGCUAGAGUGUGUCAGAGGGAGGUGGAAUUCCGCGUGUAGCAGUGAAAUGCGUAGAUAUGCGGAGGAACACCGAUGGCGAAGGCAGCCUCCUGGGAUAACACUGACGCUCAUGCACGAAAGCGUGGGGAGCAAACAGGAUUAGAUACCCUGGUAGUCCACGCCCUAGACGAUGUCAACUAGCUGUUGGGGCCUUCGGGCCUUGGUAGCGCAGCCUAACGCGUGAAGUUGACCGCCUGGGGAGUACGGUCGCAAGAUUAAAACUCAAAGGAAUU